This is a long non-coding RNA of Anolis carolinensis (green anole), 1945 nucleotides long. The record is from Ensembl. Lineage: Eukaryota; Metazoa; Chordata; Lepidosauria; Squamata; Anolidae.
GCACCCGUCAAUUAAAAUUUUUAAAAAUAGCCCCUGCUUGUUGCUGACCUAGCAACCCGAAAGAUAGUUGCAUCUAUCCAAGUAGGAAAUAAGGUACCACUUAUCAAAAAGUGGGGAGGCAAAUUUAACUAAUUUAUUUACGUUGGAAUGAGGAAGUGCGGUCAGAGUGGAUGAUGAAGCAGCUGCUCCCCCCUGUGGCCAGAAUUGAACAUCCCCUCAGGAGAAGGUUAAUAAUAAUAAUAAUAAUAAUAAUAAUAAUAAUAAUAAUAAUUAAUAAUAAUAAUAAUAACUUUAUUUUUAUACCCCGCCUCCAUCUCCCCAAAGGGGACUCAGGGCGGCUUACAUGGGGCCAAGCCCGAAUAAAAACAGUAGCAGUAUAAAACACAGCAAUAGACAACAACUUGCACAAUAAAAAAAAUAAAAAAUAAAAAUAAAACAUUAGCCAAUAAAAAACAAGAACUAAUAAAAACAUGGAUUAAAACUGAGAGAUUGUAAAAGUAGACUGGAUAAAAGUGCCUGGAUAAAGUUAAAUUGCCUCUGUGUCUGUCUCUGUCUCGGUUCUAUGUGUAUCUGUGCAUGGAAUGUGUGCCCUAUAUGUAUAUAAUAUGAUCCGCCCUGAGUCCCCUUCGGGGUGAGAAAGAAAGAAGGGCGGGAUAUAAAUACUGUAAAUAAAUACAUAAAUAAAUAACCCUUUUGUCGGGUCCUCAUUGCAGUGUCCUUCUGUCCAGAAUGACGGCAGAGGCGAAAUCCUUGGAGGCCGAGGACGAAGGUGGGCUUCCCCUUGGGAGAGAUUUUGCCCCCCGCCCGUCCUGGGGACGCCGCACCUGCUCCGGCCGCCGCCUGAUCCUCGUCCUUCUGGGGGUCCUUGGCUGCCUCCUCCUCGCCAUGGUGGUCUUCGGCUUCAGCGGGCGCAAGCUGAACGCGGAUUUGUCAGGAAUGCAGGGAAACCUCAAGAGCAUCAACCAGAGCCUUUUCUCAGAGUUGGCUUCUCUGAAGGAAAAAGGAGCAAGUGAAGCUAAAUUGGUGGCAAAGAUCAACGCGAUGGCCAAAAACCUGACCGAGGAGGUGAAGGAAGGUAAGGAUGGAAAAUGCAGAAUGAUGCCCUCUGCGCCCAUUGAAAAGCAUGGCGCAUUGCCAUUUAUGGGGUUCACUCUGAUCUGUGGCUUCAUUGAUCCACAUCUAGCAAAACAUGUCCCUUGCAGGUAUUUUCCAAGAACUCCAAUGCAAUUCUAUAGUAUUUUUGGACCAGUUGAAUGUGUGUGUGUGUGUAUUAGUAUUAUAUAUAUAGUGUGAGUGUGUUUGUGUGUAUGUGUGUGUGUGAGUGUGUGUGUGGAUGUGUAUAUAUAUAUACUGUAUAUAUAUAUAUAUACAGUAGAGUCUCACUAAUCCAAGCCUCGCUUAUCCAAGCCUCUGGAUAAUCCAAGCCAUUUUUGUAGUCAAUGUUUCCAAUAUAUCGUGAUAUUUUGGUGCUAAAUUCGUAAAUACAGUAAUUACAACAUAACAUUACUGCGUAUUGAACUACUUUUUCUGUCAAAUUUGUUGUAUAACAUGAAGUUUUGGUGCUUAAUUUGUAAAAUCAUAACCUAAUUUGAUGUUUAAUAGGCUUUUCCUUGAUCAUUCCUUAUAAUCCAAGAUAUUCGCUUAUCCAAGCUUCUGCCGGCCCGUUUAGCUUGGAUAAGUGAGACUCUACUGUAUAUAUAAGUAUUACAUAUAUGUUGUGAGUGUGUUUGUGUGUAUGUUUGUAUGUGUGUAUAAAUAUAUAUAAGUAUUAUAUGUGGUGUGAGCAUGUUUGUGUGUGUGUGUGUAUGUGUGUGUGUGUGUGUGUAUAUAUUAGUAUUAUAUAUGGUGUGAGUGUGUUUGUGUGUGUAUAUGUGCAUGUGUGUGUAUGUAUAUAUAUAUACUGUAUAUACAUAUUAGUAUUAAAUAUGGUGUGAGUGUAUUUCUG